GAAGAAAGUUGAGCGGGCGGACGAGCGCGGGAGCCGGCGCGGCACAGCGGCCCGGCGGGGCGAGGUGCUCUCACCUUUCAGCACGUAGCGCCUGCAACGCUGCAGAGAGAAGAGGCUUCAGUGGAAAAAUAAUGACCGGAUAAUAAAGAGCACUGAGGAGCUUUUCAAAUGACAUGGCACCCACUGCUCGGGCCGGGGCUUUGCAGGAACCUUGGCGAGGAACGUGGAGCUGGCCCUGAGCAGAGGGGGAUGAAGCAGAGCGGCUCCACUCGCCCAGCGCCCACACUCCAGCAUCCCCUCUCCGGGCAAAGCCGUGCACCCCGAACAGCUCCUCCACGGGUCAAGUCAGCAUUUGGCUCAGCAAAUCCAUGGAGAGGUUUGCUGGGGGCUUUCUGCAGUGUUUUAGUAGCUGCUGAUCCUCCCAGGGGGAUGCUUGAGCUCCAGGAUGCUCUGCCCUCCUUGAGCCCUGCUCCAUCCUUUGCUGGCCUGGAGUGCCCGAACCCUGCAGCAUCCCAAUCCCAACUCUCCCAUGGACCUACAAGGGCUCCACACCUGUGGGGCUUCAGAUUUUACUGUAGGGGUCAGAUUUUACUGCAGGGUUGAGGACCUAUAGGUUUCCUUGCGUUCCUCAUUAGGGCCUGCACAGGGACAGCACGUAGUUUCGCUCUUCCACAUUUCCCCAGCCCCUGCACCGCUGUCAUCUGGUUAAAGAAUUGCCAUUAAUUUUAGGGUAGGAAGGACCCAUUGUUUACUACGCGAUCAGGGAAAAGGGAAGGUUUUUGCUGCCAAUAAACUAUUUUUACCCGUAAUGCAGAUCCAGGAUGGCCAGCGAGGUGGCCGCAGUGUGGGAACAGCAGGCUGUUUGCAGCCCAAGCUGCAGCAUGGGGACAUCGGUCCCCAGUGACACCUUGGCCAGGACAGAGGCCAGUGCCAAGCCAGGCAGGAUUUUAGCACUGGCACAGCCUGGGAAUGCUUCACGGAGGUGGCAGCAGGGCUGGGCACAGCCCCGGAGUGCAGGGGCAGAGCUGGGCAGGCACCAGAAAGCAGGGGGGCAGCAGAGACCCCGACGUGCUGUGCACCACUUUCCGCACCCCGGCGCUCGCUUGGUCCCAGAGGCAGCGGUAGCCAGCAGCCCUGUCCCUUCCAGGAUGCAUUUCCAACAAAUCAUCCCCCCAAACACGCUGCUCGGUUCAAUUUAACAGGGAGAAGAGACACAGCCCAGCGCAGGACCUGCAGCGUGAAAUUAUUGCAGGGGAGGGAUAGCAGAGGUCCCUUCUGGCUUUAAAUAAUCCUAAAAAAUAGACGUCUCCGGAUUGCCUCCUGGCUCCUUCCAACAAGCUCGAUUUUGUCAGCAGGGGGAGGGAUGGAUGCCUGCUCAUUUACCCCCAUCCUCCGGCGGCGAGCCAGCAGUUUACACCUACGGCAGCAGCGGAGACCUCUCCGCCGAGCGUGCGCUCCCCGCGCCGCGUGCUCUAUAAAUACGUGUGCAUGACAGAUUUGGCACCGCGUAUUCCUGUAAGUGAUGUAAUCCCCGGGAAGUUACUUAGCAACCAUGGAAAAUGUUUUGGAGGCUCUAAUUUUUCAGUAUGGUAAAAUCGUAUAUUUAUGCAGUGCGGCUAAUCAGCUUGCUGGAAAGUCAGCGACGAUGAUCUCAUUUUCUUCAUCAUUAUUUUAUGUGAAUUGGGCUUUUAGCACUAAAGAGACCACAAAGAUUUAAUUCAAAAAUGUGAUUGCUUUAUGUUUCCAGGGUAUCAUUAACAUGGCAUCUACGCAAAUAACCAUGGUAACAAACUGGUAAUUAGUACAUAUAUGGCACUUAUUAUUAAUACAGAAACAGGACAAGCUCCAAAUCAGCGCAGAUUACAGUACAUUAUUACCAUAGUAAUUACCUGCAGUAACACACACAAAUUGAACUAAAUGGCCAAUUGAACUAGAGUGAAUGGCUUUUUAUUCCAGUCCCUAAAUAAUGUGCAUUCUUGGCUGAGUAGUUCAAGGUAAAUAAAACUGUUUUAAAUUUA
This is a long non-coding RNA of Oxyura jamaicensis (ruddy duck), 2018 nucleotides long. RefSeq lists it as uncharacterized. NCBI's taxonomy places the organism in Eukaryota, Metazoa, Chordata, Aves, Anseriformes, Anatidae. The transcript has 2 exons. The record is from RefSeq and is a predicted model, not a curated record.